This 254-nucleotide ribosomal RNA is filed under the name uncultured bacterium. Its description in RNAcentral is "partial 16S ribosomal RNA". It matches the Rfam family "Bacterial small subunit ribosomal RNA", at positions 524 to 777 of the family's 1533-position model. The record is from RNAcentral.
UACGUAGGUGACAAGCGUUGUCCGGAUUUACUGGGCGUAAAGAGCGCGCAGGCGGUCGUUCAAGUCGAGUGUGAAAGCCCCCGGCUCAACUGGGGAGGGUCACUCGAUACUGAUCGACUCGAAGGCAGGAGAGGGAAGUGGAAUUCCCGGUGUAGUGGUGAAAUGCGUAGAUAUCGGGAGGAACACCGGUGGCGAAGGCGGGUCUCUGGGCAUCUCCUGACGCUGAGGCGCGAAAGCGUGGGGAGCAAACGGGG